AUACGUAGGGUGCGAGCGUUGUCCGGAAUUACUGGGCGUAAAGAGAUCGCAGGCGGUUUGUCGCGUCGUCUGUGAAAUUCCGGGGCUUAACUCCGGGCGUGCUGGCGAUACGGGCAUAACUUGAGUACUGUAGGGGAGACUGGACUCCCUGUGGAAGCGGGGAAAUGCGAAGAUAACAGGAGGAACACGGUGGCGAAGGCGGGUCUCUGGGCAGUAACUGACGUUGAGGAGCGAAAGCAUGGGUAGCAAACAGGAUUAGAUACCCUGGUAGUCCAUGCCGUAAACGGUGGGCGCUAGGUGUAGGGGUCUUCCACGACUUCUGUGCCGUAGCUAACGCAUUAAGCGCCCCGCCUGGGGAGUACGGCCGCAAGGCUAAAACUCAAAUGAAUUGACGGGG
Molecule: ribosomal RNA, 397 nt
Filed under: uncultured bacterium
Lineage: Bacteria
Description: partial 16S ribosomal RNA
Rfam family: Bacterial small subunit ribosomal RNA
Source: RNAcentral